RNAcentral lists this ribosomal RNA (253 nucleotides) under uncultured bacterium. Its description in RNAcentral is "partial 16S ribosomal RNA". It matches the Rfam family "Bacterial small subunit ribosomal RNA", at positions 524 to 776 of the family's 1533-position model. The record is from RNAcentral.
UACGGAGUGUGCAAGCGUUACUCGGAAUCACUGGGCAUAAAGCGCGCGUAGGCGGGUUUCCAAGUCGGUUGUGAAAUCCCUCAGCUCAACUGAGGAACUGCAUCCGAUACUGUUUGUCUUGAGGACGGGAGGGGAGAGUGGAACUUCUGGUGAAGCGGUGAAAUGCGCAGAUAUCAGGAAGAACACCAAUGGCGAAGGCAGCUCUCUGGGACGGUACUGACGCUGAGACGCGAAAGCGUGGGGAGCGAACAGG